GACAGAGGUGCCAAGCGUUAGGCGGAAUCACUGGGCUUAAAGCGUGUGUAGGUGGACUGGUAAGUACCUUGUGAAAUCCCACGGCUUAACCGUGGAACUGCUGGGUAUACUGCUGGUCUUGAGCAACCUAGGGGCGAGCGGAACAAAUGGUGGAGCGGUGAAAUGCGUAGAUAUCAUUUGGAACGCCAAUGGUGAAAACAGCUCGCUGGGGGUUUGCUGACACUGAGACACGAAAGCCAGGGGAGCAAACGGG
RNAcentral lists this ribosomal RNA (253 nucleotides) under uncultured bacterium. Its description in RNAcentral is "partial 16S ribosomal RNA". It matches the Rfam family "Bacterial small subunit ribosomal RNA", at positions 524 to 776 of the family's 1533-position model. The record is from RNAcentral.